Xiphophorus couchianus (Monterrey platyfish) is the source of this 282-nucleotide non-coding RNA. The record is from Ensembl. NCBI's taxonomy places the organism in Eukaryota, Metazoa, Chordata, Actinopteri, Cyprinodontiformes, Poeciliidae.
UCUUUGCCGCCUUGUCGAUCGGCCCCUGGUGACCUCUAUCACCCGUGGGAACAGCAAGGCUGCAGAAAGCGUCUCAAAGGAUGAAAAGGCGUGGCUUCCGCAGGCUUGGGAGUCCCACGUGCGAUGUUCCUUGGACAGACUUCCUGCUUCCCACGGAGGAGGCGGUCCGGCUCAGUGGCCGCCACCUUUCUUGAGGCAGGUAGAGUAAAAAAAAACAGGCAGCUUGAUAUUGUUUGGGCCAGGAGAAGCUAUUCCUGUCAGACACUGUCUGCUGUCACAGUU